AUUGAACGCUGGCGGCAGGCCUAACACAUGCAAGUCGAGCGAGCGGCGGACGGGUGAGUAAUGUAUGGGAAUCUGCCCGAUGGAGGGGGAUAACUACUGGAAACGGUGGCUAAUACCGCAUACUAUCGGAUGUGCCCAGAUGGGAUUAGCUAGUAGGUGGGGUAAAGGCUCACCUAGGCGACGAUCCCUAGCUGGUCUGAGAGGAUGACCAGCCAAACUGGGACUGAGACACGGUCCAGACUCCGACGGUAGGGAGCAGGGGGGAAUAUGGCACAAUGGGCGCAAGCCUGAUGCAGCCAUGCCGCGUGUAUGAAGAAGGCCUUAGGGUUGUAAAGUACUUUCAGCGGGGAGGCGUUACCCGCAGAAGAAGCACCGGCUAACUCCGUGCCAGCAGCCGCGGUAAUUC
This 406-nucleotide ribosomal RNA is filed under the name uncultured bacterium. RNAcentral describes it as "partial 16S ribosomal RNA". It matches the Rfam family "Bacterial small subunit ribosomal RNA", at positions 30 to 526 of the family's 1533-position model. The record is from RNAcentral.